UUUAUUUUUCUGUCUCAAAUUGAUUUUAAUAUUAUUUCAACAAAAUAUAAUUUUUUUUAAUUAACAAAAAGAGUAAAUUUAUUUUAAUAAAAUAUAAUUUCAAUAUUUAUUCAAAAAGUGUAUUCCCUCGCAAUUUGUUAUACGGGACCCGUCGCAGACCCUGGUAGUUGUCGGUCAGCACAGGUACGGCAGAAACGAAAGAACGAUUUGAUCUACCUUCUUUGAUUAGAGUCUUUAAUCAGCAAACGAUUUGAAAAAACUCCUGCCAAACGAAGAAGGCAACCCCCCCUAAAACCCCAACAUUGAAUUAUAAUGUAACCAAUAGCAAGAUUCGAACCUACGCGCACUUGUGAACGAACAUUUCGCUUUAGACAAUUAUUGGCGAUGCGUUAGCACGCUCGACCAACACUGGUCAAUCCGUAUCUGUGCUACUGCGUUAUUUCACCUAUAUGCUAACAAUCAGCUCAGUGUGUGGGAGUGCGCUCGUGUAAUGAUGGUCAGCUGUAUCGAUAGUUUGCAUAUCAUUUUCCUACUGAGAAUCGCUUGAGAAUUGGGUCGGACGUGUGUGGCAUGACUGAGUGAGGCUAGUGAAAAUAAUAGUUGCGCUGAGGCUACGUAAUGCUUAAUUGGUUACACAAAUGGUUGUGGUGUUAUGAAGUUAAGUUUGCUUGUUGGAAAGUUGGUGACUUUGGUGGUUUGAGGAAGAAGAAGAGCGCAUUAGCGAACCAAACGCCGAUAAAAUCACAAUUUCAACCAAAAAUGUUCAUCCAUUUAUUGCUUGUAUCGAAUUUAGCAUAUCUAGUGAUGGCCACCAACUAAGCCGGCAGCCAUACAGUUUGAAGACCUAUCACUCUGCUACAUUCAAACAUACACGCUGUUUUACACGCUGAUUUGCAUAAAACGCGUUUCUCCUACCAAGCAAAACAGUUCCUUCAGUCAACACACACUCUGGGUUCGCAUAUUUCGAAAAUAUUUCCAACCAAACAUCGCACACGUGAACUGAGUUACAAUAAAAACAAAAAACUAGUUUAACAACGUCACGACGAACAUCUUCACUACAGUUGGCAGCUGCUACAUGCGCGCCGACAGCCCAGCAGUUGCCCAGCAGCGCACACCGAUUGCUUCACAUUUGCACGCCACCAAGCAGCGUUUUAGCGGGGACGUCAGCAUUUCAUAAUUAACAUAUUAUUUAAACCGCCACUAAUAUAUGAUUACAUGCGGCCAUUUGAUUUCUUCUCAAUUUGAAUAAAGUAUUGAAUUUCAGUGCUCAUACACAGCGCUGGAACUUUAUUUGGAAUUAAGAUGAUUUAAAAAAGGAAUUUUUAGAGGAGAAAAAUUAAAUAUGAAUUUUA
This is a long non-coding RNA of Zeugodacus cucurbitae (melon fly), 1352 nucleotides long. RefSeq lists it as uncharacterized. The record is from RefSeq and is a predicted model, not a curated record. The transcript is spliced from 5 exons. NCBI's taxonomy places the organism in Eukaryota, Metazoa, Arthropoda, Insecta, Diptera, Tephritidae.